Molecule: ribosomal RNA, 528 nt
Filed under: Bifidobacterium breve
Lineage: Bacteria; Bacillati; Actinomycetota; Actinomycetes; Bifidobacteriales; Bifidobacteriaceae
Description: bacterial SSU rRNA
Rfam family: Bacterial small subunit ribosomal RNA
Source: RNAcentral
GUGGUAAUGCCGGAUGCUCCAUCACACCGCAUGGUGUGUUGGGAAAGCCUUUGCGGCAUGGGAUGGGGUCGCGUCCUAUCAGCUUGAUGGCGGGGUAACGGCCCACCAUGGCUUCGACGGGUAGCCGGCCUGAGAGGGCGACCGGCCACAUUGGGACUGAGAUACGGCCCAGACUCCUACGGGAGGCAGCAGUGGGGAAUAUUGCACAAUGGGCGCAAGCCUGAUGCAGCGACGCCGCGUGAGGGAUGGAGGCCUUCGGGUUGUAAACCUCUUUUGUUAGGGAGCAAGGCAUUUUGUGUUGAGUGUACCUUUCGAAUAAGCACCGGCUAACUACGUGCCAGCAGCCGCGGUAAUACGUAGGGUGCAAGCGUUAUCCGGAAUUAUUGGGCGUAAAGGGCUCGUAGGCGGUUCGUCGCGUCCGGUGUGAAAGUCCAUCGCUUAACGGUGGAUCCGCGCCGGGUACGGGCGGGCUUGAGUGCGGUAGGGGAGACUGGAAUUCCCGGUGUAACGGUGGAAUGUGUAGAUAUC